RNAcentral lists this transfer RNA (57 nucleotides) under Diaphorina citri (Asian citrus psyllid). It matches the Rfam family "tRNA", at positions 8 to 63 of the family's 71-position model. Rfam says of the family: Transfer RNA (tRNA) molecules are approximately 80 nucleotides in length. Their secondary structure includes four short double-helical elements and three loops (D, anti-codon, and T loops). Lineage: Eukaryota; Metazoa; Arthropoda; Insecta; Hemiptera; Psyllidae. The record is from Rfam by way of RNAcentral.
UGGCGUAGUGGUCACUGCGCUCGCCUUGCACGCGGGAGACCCGGGUUUGAUUCCCGG